This 258-nucleotide ribosomal RNA is filed under the name uncultured bacterium. RNAcentral describes it as "partial 16S ribosomal RNA". It matches the Rfam family "Bacterial small subunit ribosomal RNA", at positions 539 to 793 of the family's 1533-position model. The record is from RNAcentral.
CGUUAAUCGGAAUUACUGGGCGUAAAGCGCAUGCAGGUGGUUUGUUAAGUCAGAUGUGAAAGCCCCGGGGCUCAACCUCGGAAUUGCAUUUGAAACUGGCAAACUAGAGUACUGUAAGAGGGGGUAGAAUUUCAGGUGUAGCGGUGAAAAUGCGUAGAGAUCUGAAGGAAUACCGGUGGCGAAGGCGGCCCCCCUGGACAGAUACUGACACUCAGAUGCGAAAGCGUGGGGAGCAAACAGGAUUAGAUACCCUGGUAG